CUUUACGGAGAAAGCUUUAUGCACCAUUGGAUGAGCCUGCACUUGAUUAGUUUGUUGGUGGGGUAAUGGCCUACCAAGACUUUGAUCAAUAGCUGAUUUGAGAGGAUGAUCAGCCACAUUGGGACUGAG
RNAcentral lists this ribosomal RNA (129 nucleotides) under uncultured bacterium. Its description in RNAcentral is "partial 16S ribosomal RNA". It matches the Rfam family "Bacterial small subunit ribosomal RNA", at positions 193 to 323 of the family's 1533-position model. The record is from RNAcentral.